AAAAAAACAAAGGACCCCUGCUUUGCUCUGCUAGGGUUUUGGACUCUAGUGUCAUCGCGCAGCCUUUCGCCGGCGACCGUGCUCCGAUCAAGACGGAGAGGGCCCCCAGUCGGCGUCUUUGACGAAAGAGGUGAGAUUUUCGCCUUUUCGUAUUAUUUAUUUAAAAAAGAAAAAAAAUGAAUAACGAAAGGAAAAAAAAAAUAGGAAUCCGAUUUCACCUUUGAAAAAAAAUCUUUGUAUUUCUCAGUAUUUUUUUCUCUAUUUUCCUAUUUCUUUACACUGAAUCCUCCCUCACUUACAGAUUUCCCAAAGGCUUUUAUAGCCCGAAAAAUCGAAAAAAAAAAAUAAAAUAAAAUUUCACUAAUUAUUGUUGCUGUUUUAUCUCAAUCGGGCUCUUUGAGUCUGUUUUUUGCAGGAAAUCGUGGAGCAAACGUGAAGGAGGAUCUCCGAGUCCUACGGCGAUCGGGAUCUUGCUGGUGGCUGCUGCAGCUAGCUUAGGGUUUCUGCUUUUUGGCGUUAAGGGCUGCA
Molecule: long non-coding RNA, 528 nt
Filed under: Gossypium raimondii (Peruvian cotton)
Lineage: Eukaryota; Viridiplantae; Streptophyta; Magnoliopsida; Malvales; Malvaceae
Description: long non-coding RNA (GRAI_LNC008014)
Source: RNAcentral